RNAcentral lists this ribosomal RNA (164 nucleotides) under uncultured bacterium. RNAcentral describes it as "partial 16S rRNA". It matches the Rfam family "Bacterial small subunit ribosomal RNA", at positions 355 to 511 of the family's 1533-position model. The record is from RNAcentral.
UAGGGAAUCUUCCACAAUGGACGGAAGUCUGAUGGAGCAACGCCGUGUGAGUGAAGAAGGUUUUCGGAUCGUAAAGCUCUGUUGUUGGUGAAGAAGGAUAGAGGCAGUAACUGGUCUUUAUUUGACGGUAAUCAACCAGAAAGUCACGGCUAACUACGUGCCAC